RNAcentral lists this long non-coding RNA (400 nucleotides) under Mytilus galloprovincialis (Mediterranean mussel). Lineage: Eukaryota; Metazoa; Mollusca; Bivalvia; Mytilida; Mytilidae. The record is from RNAcentral.
AUUACUUUGAAAAAUUUUCAAAGUCAAUAGACCAUGACUAAAGGGGUGGAGCCAAAUUAUCUCCAUGGAAAUGAUAUAUGCCAAUGCUUGUACAACUGCUUAUCCAAAUAUCAUUGACCUCCUAUUUGUGGUUCCACAUAAACUGACCUAAUCACUAACUAAUACAUGUUAAAUUAGCAAAAGUUUCUAAGUCAAUAGACCAUGACUGAAGGGGCAAGGUCAAAUAAUCUCCAUGGAAAUGAGAUGUGCCAAUGCUUAUACAACUGCAUACCAAAAAUGAUUGACCUACCACUUGUGGUUCACCAUAAACUAGACCUAAUCACAAACUAAUACAUUGUUGACGCCAAAGGCGUGGGAAACAGCAUACCUAUGUCUCGCUUGUUGACUCCGUCAAGGCGAG